AGUUUGAUCAUGGCUCAGAAUGAACGUUGGCGGCGUGGAUUAGGCAUGCAAGUCGAGGGAGAACCGCAAGGGGACACCGGCGAACGGGGUAGGAUCACGUAGGUGACGUACCCCCAGGGCGAGGAUAGCCACGGGAAACUGUGGGUAAUACUCGAUAAUCUUCCCGAUCGUGAUGAUUGGGAAGCAAUGGGUGUGAUUCCACCUGGGGAGCGGCUUACGCAGUAUCAGCUAGUUGGUGAGGUAACGGCUCACCAAGGCUUUGACGCUUAGGGGGUGUGAGAGCAUGGCCCCCACCACUGGCACUGAGACACUGGCCAGACACCUACGGGUGGCUGCAGUCGAGAAUCUUCGGCAAUGGACGAAAGUCUGACCGAGCGACGCCGCGUGCGGGAUGAAGGUCUUCGGAUUGUAAACCGCUGUCAGAGGGGAUGAAGUGUACGAGAGCAAUCUCUUGUAUUUGACAGAGCCUCAGAGGAAGCACGGGCUAAGUUCGUGCCAGCAGCCGCGGUAAUACGAACUGUGCGAACGUUAUUCGGAAUCACUGGGCUUAAAGGGUGCGUAGGCGGUUUUCUAAGUCAGGUGUGAAAUCUUCCGGCUCAACCGGAAAACUGCGCCUGAGACUGGAUAACUUGAGUGAGGUAGGGGUGUGUGGAACUUCCGGUGGAGCGGUGAAAUGUGUAGAGAUCGGAAGGAACGCCAGCAGCGAAAGCGGCACACUGGGCCUUUUCUGA
Molecule: ribosomal RNA, 731 nt
Filed under: uncultured bacterium
Lineage: Bacteria
Description: bacterial SSU rRNA
Rfam family: Bacterial small subunit ribosomal RNA
Source: RNAcentral